UUGACCUCGGAUCAGGUAGGGUACC
This 25-nucleotide ribosomal RNA is filed under the name Scedosporium boydii. Its description in RNAcentral is "partial 28S ribosomal RNA". Lineage: Eukaryota; Fungi; Ascomycota; Sordariomycetes; Microascales; Microascaceae. The record is from RNAcentral.